UACGUAGGGAGCAAGCGUUGUCCGGAAUCAUUGGGCGUAAAGCGCGCGUAGGCGGCCUCAUAAGUCCGUUGUGAAAGUCCAGGGCUCAACCCUGGGAUGCCGGUGGAUACUGUCGGACUAGAGUACGGAAGAGGCGAGUGGAAUUCCCGGUGUAGCGGUGAAAUGCGCAGAUAUCGGGAGGAACACCAAUUGCGAAGGCAGCUCGCUGGGACGUCACUGACGCUGAGACGCGAAAGCGUGGGGAGCAAACAGG
Molecule: ribosomal RNA, 253 nt
Filed under: uncultured bacterium
Lineage: Bacteria
Description: partial 16S ribosomal RNA
Rfam family: Bacterial small subunit ribosomal RNA
Source: RNAcentral